UGGGAAAAUGUCCUCGGGUGAGGAUUAACACAACAACAGCAACAACAACAAAGAAUCAGCCGGAGAGCUUGUUAACACACUGUUUCCUGGAGAUUCUGAAUCAAUAGAUGGUGUGGGGCCCAUGGAUUUUCCUUGGUGAGAGCCAUGCUUCCUCUCAGAGGCCCACACUCUGAGAACCACGGUGUUGCACUGUCCCAGACUUGCGCAGCUAGAAACGUGCAAAAUUCAGAAGCCCGGUGAGAAUGAAUUAUCACCACUCGAAGGCAACACCUCCAACGUGGAGAAGAUUUACGCGGAAUGCCUGUGCAUUGCCAGUUAAAGGACCCACGCGUUCCUUCUGGAUGUUGCUGGCCGAGCCGGGGUGCCACGUGACACUUAAACUUUAUAACAGCGAGUCCGGAGUUGUGGCCUUUCCGCCUUUGCCCUUCUCAAGCUCCUCUUGAAAUGUGCUUUCUGACAAGAAUCUCAGGCCUUGCAAAGGGCAACCAGGAAGCAAGA
Molecule: long non-coding RNA, 498 nt
Organism: Myotis myotis
Lineage: Eukaryota; Metazoa; Chordata; Mammalia; Chiroptera; Vespertilionidae
Exons: 3
Source: RefSeq, a predicted model, not a curated record